CGCGUAGGCGGGCUCGCAAGUCCGGGGUGAAAGCCCCAGCUUAACUGGGAAGUGCCUUGGAAACUGCGGGUCUAGAGGGAGGUAGGGGCAUGUGGAACUUCGGUGGAGCGGUGAAAUGCGUUGAUAUCCGAAGGAACGCCGGUGGCGAAAGCGACGUGCUGGAUCUCUUCUGACGCUGAGGCGCGAAAGCCAGGGUAGCGAACG
RNAcentral lists this ribosomal RNA (204 nucleotides) under uncultured bacterium. Its description in RNAcentral is "partial 16S ribosomal RNA". It matches the Rfam family "Bacterial small subunit ribosomal RNA", at positions 568 to 774 of the family's 1533-position model. The record is from RNAcentral.